CAUUUAGAUAUAUAUUUUAAAAUUCAAAGAUUUAAGGAAAAAUCACAAAACAACUCACACAUAUAUGCGGGUUCUUCCCUUGCCCCAACCUCGAGCAAGGCUUGUGUGCGGGAAUGUUUUUCGCAGACACCCAUUCUCGAGCAAGGCUUACGUGUGGUCGUACUUGCUGAAAUUCCUCUAGUCAUGGGCUCUAUAGUCUCGUGGGAUUUUCACUCGCGGGCAUCCCCGCAAGCAUCCCCACGGACAUGCAAGUUGCUUGUCACGAAUUAUUCACCGAAGAGACACCACUCACACAGGCACCCAAGGCUCUGCAGGCAAACUCCUUUCUUCCCUUGCUAGGUGUCAACCAAGUAGCUUUCCUCUUUAGUUCUGUUAGCCACCCAAGCCUCCAACGGCCUGGACACAUUGCAUGUAAUCCAAGCCCAAGGAUGCUUUGAUUGGGAGGUAUAAAAUCUUGUUUCCUUUAUGUUCUCUUCUUUAGUUCUUCAUUCCUUCAAGCAAAUAGAAAACUACAAAGAGAGAGAGAGAAAGAGUGAAAGCUGAGUGUUCUAGUGCGAGCUGAGAGCAGGAAACUGAGUGUGCUUCUGAUAAACAACUUUUUCUCCUCUGAGGUGAGUUUUUUCUCUUUUAUUUUAGCCGAUUGACUCUCCCUUCCUGAUUGUUUAUUCAUCCUUUUUUACCCAAACCCAGAAACCUUCUUUCAGCUUCGACCAAAGCUUCUUCUGCAACCAGAACAGAGCCGAACCGGACUGUUCAAGUAAGCAUGUUAUUCCUCUUCGAUUCUUGUUUCCUUUUGAUUAAAUUAGUCCCUUUAAGUUUUAAGUUAAGUUUAAAUUAAAUCCCUGUGGGUAAAAUAACCCAAAAAUUACAAAUUCAACUUAAAAACCCUACUGACACGGCAACCGUUGCACAUGCAUUUUGCUAGCUGUUAUUCUUACAGUUUAGGUCGAUUUCCAUAUGCAUUUGGAGUGUUUAGACCUUUUGUUGUAGAAUAAGAUUUGUGGUAAUUUGUUUCUACAAGCAUUUGGUUUUAUAGAUGCAUGUAGGAUGAUUAAAUCUUUGGAAAAUGCAUGUCCAUUUACUGUUUUAACUUAUGCAGAGAGUAUGUGUGUUGCAUCCAUGAUUUUGAUUAUUUAAUCUUGUUUUUUGUGAUGAUUUUGACGGAAUUUGAUUAUUGGAUGUUUGUAUGACGAUUAUAAGUUGAUUUCAUAUGCUAAAAUGAAAAGAAAAAUAGAAAUUUAUUGGCAAACAGAAGACCAAUGCCUUUGUCUGCAUUGCCCAAUACCAAUAUGCCAAUAAAGGGGGCAAACAUAGGCGAUCGUGUGCGAUGGUGCGCACGGGGCACUGUCAAGGCACCCAAAAGUGUCAGGAUAUAUCCCCUAACACACUGCACAUGCGAAGCACACUGCACAUGCAAAGCACACUGCACAUAGGCAAAGAGUCCCUGCCAGGCACCCUUACUGUGCCGAGAGAACCUUCAUGAGGCACUACUUGUACCGAGUGAUGUGCGUGCAUACACACAGAGACAUACCCCCAGAUGGGCACAAACUGUCGAGGCAUGCACCCCACUGGCAAGCUACUAUGCACAGUAAGCCAUGCAAGGCAUAGGUACUCUUAAGCAUAUGCAUAUUCUGAGAGUGCCAUAGGCCAAGGUACAUUAUACCGCAGGUACAGGCUUACACGAUUUUAUCCCUCAGCCACGAGUGCGAGGGCAAAAUGCCGAAAAACAUAAAAAGGAAUUGGAUUUGAAAAUUUUGAAAUUAAAUUUUAAAUUGAAAUUGAAAAAUAAAUAACUAAAAUUACGUUUUAAAAUUAAACACAGUGAAAUAAAAUAAUUGAGUUAAGUUUGAAACUAAAAAAGGUAAAAUAAUUAGAAAUCAAAAAGAAAAAUGGGCAAUAAAAUAUGAAUUUUGAACAAAAUAAAAAUCUAAGAGAGUUUGGAAAUGAAUUUUAAGAAAUUGGAAAUCAAUUAAAAAAUUAUUAAAUUCUGAGUUAAGGAAAUUUAAUAAGAAAUUUGAAGAAUUGGAAAGUAAGANNNNNNNNNNNNNNNNNNNNNNNNNNNNNNNNNNNNNNNNNNNNNNNNNNNNNNNNNNNNNNNNNNNNNNNNNNNNNNNNNNNNNNNNNNNNNNNNNNNNNNNNNNNNNNNNNNNNNNNNNNNNNNNNNNNNNNNNNNNNNNNNNNNNNNNNNNNNNNNNNNNNNNNNNNNNNNNNNNNNNNNNNNNNNNNNNNNNNNNNNNNNNNNNNNNNNNNNNNNNUGCAGCCUAGCAAGCCGCGCACUCAAGAAGAACAUGCGGCCCAUGCCGCAUGUCCCUGCAGGUGGGCUGACCAAGGCCCAUCGAGAAGACCCAAAGACCAGCCCUCACCCCAAGGCCCGAUCCAGCGAACCUGCACCCGAGAAGAAGGAACGAGGCUGAACACUUGUGAGGCGAGGAGAAACCUGCACAGGCCGCAUACCCGUGAGGCCUAAAAGCUGCGCACGUGAGCCCGACCCGAGCCGCAUGCACGUGCGGGCUCCCCUAGCCCGUUUGGAUGAGGUUGAGGUGUGGUGAGUUUUUUGGAUUUUUUCAAAUGGCCCAUGUGAUUUUUUUUAGCCCAAAAUUUUCAAAUUUGACAUGGUAAUUAUCGUUUUAAUAUUUUAUUAUUAUUUUUAAAUUAAGGAUUAAUUAUAUAAUAUUUUAAUCAUGAAAUUAUCCUAAGCUAUUAUUUUAUUAUAUUUUUUAAUCUUUAUUAUUUAUUCUAUUAUUUUAAUUUGAUUUAUAUGGAUUUCAUAUAGGAUAAAUAUGAGCUUAUUUUAAUUAUUAUUUUAAUAUAAGUCUAUCUUUUAGGAUUAUUUAAUUAAUUUAUUUAGGAUAGAAUAAUUAUUUUAUUUUGUAAUUAUCGCAGAUUAAGAUAAAAUUUUAUCGAGGGUAUUAUUUUAUUAAUUAUUUUAAGAUUUUUGUAUUCAUCUAGAUUGCCUGGAAAAAGGCUAUAAAUAGAUCUUUGCCCCUAUGAUGUAAAACACACCUUUGAAAAUAAAUUUGAGAGAAUUCUUGAGAGAUUCGACUUUUCUUUCUUUUAGCAUUUUGCUAAAAUUAGCUUCUUCAAGUUCUUCGAGAAGUAGGAGUCUUCAAAAGUCUUAUUGAGCUAAGGAGCGAGGAUCAACUUAUCAGUAAGUCCGUGACAUUUUUCUUUUCUUUAUUUUAUUUCUCUAGUUUUUGUUUUUCUUUUUCUUUUAGGAUUGUGGAUUCAAUUAGAGGGAAGGGUUUUAUUCUAGAUGGUUAUUGUUUCGGUAUUGCAUAUGUUGAGUGGGUUUCAGGAGUAAAUUCGAUCCUCGCCAUACCCUCCCGCAUCGUUUGUCUAACCUAGGUUUGGGGUUAAGUCUAGGUUAGAUUUAAAUAAAAUCAAGUAAUAAAGCAAGUAUGUGUCUAAUAAGACGUAAUGAACAAAGUUGUGUAGUAAAAAUUUUUUACCCUUUGAUAUGAUCCUGGAUGACCCUAAUUUAGUUCUAAUGAUGAAAUCCUAUAUCAAGGAGGAACCCCAUAAAAAUUCGAACUCCUGCAGAAUAAUUAUCUGCGAGGCUGCUGUAGCAUGAGAUCAUGCUCAUACAGCACAAUAGACGUGCACACAAAGGUCCCGCAAGUCCUGUCCCAAACAAGCAAGUCCAGAAUUCCUUUGUUUCCUAAAUGGGAUUAGCUCAAAUAGGAAAUUAAUGUCUAGUUUCCUAAACGGGAACACCCUGAAUUGGAAAGUAACUUCAUGGAACUAUUCUAAGGAGUGGGCCAGUAAUGCUUCAUGGGCUUGGAGAAGUUAUAAGGAAAGAAGAAAAGCCCAUUUAUGGCCUAACCCAAGGUGGCCCAAAGACCUCAUGGCCAAAAUGGUCCAAGGCCCAAAAGAGCAUGGUGGAUAGAAGGUGCCACGCAUGUGACACCCCUUUGGCACAUGUGCGAGUAACCACAUGUGUAAAAAUGUCCACCUGCACACACGGGAGCCUCACCAGUGCUAGGAAGCAUGCAACCAAGCCAACCUGCACGCGUUGAUAUAUGCGCAAGACACGUGCAUGUGUGUAGGCAAUCAGUCACGCGCCCCGUGACCUAUGCCUAGAAAGUAGACUGCCUAGCCCAACUGGCAGAUCCAUGUUACCCAUUACCCAACUGGCCCAUUCGGGCAUCUCGUGGCCUAGCCCAUGCAAUCUGUGAUCCAGCCCGUGCCCCGACAACUAGCCCAAGUAGUCUUUUUUCCUACUACUUUUCAGACUCCAAAACUUCAAAAUUUUCCUACUUCCACAAGGUAUCCAAGUUCCCAAAUUUCCCCAUGCGCAAAAUAUGUCAAUUAUGCAUGUGAAAUUCUACUCAAGGUUGAAGAGAAGAUAUCGAAGAGGAGACCAUUAUUUAGUAUUAUUUAAUUAAUAUUUUAAUGUAAGACUUAUCCAUAGAAUUAAUUAAUUAUUAUUUAGGAUUUGGAUAAGGAUAGGCAUUUCUUUAAUGUAUUUAAAUUCAAAUUAAGAUAGAAUUUUAUUAUUUAAUUAAUUAGGUAUUUUUUUCAAUUAAAUUAGGAAUUAGAAUAUGGAUAGGAAUUCUAAAUCCUAUUCCAUGUAAAAGUAGUAAUUAAGAGUCUAUAUAAAGGUCGUGGUUCAAGUAUUAUAAACACAAUCUUCUAAGAACUAAUAAAAUUAAGUUUUGAGCUUUUAUCGACAUUGUGCUAAGUUUUCUCUUCAAGUUCUUCCAAGUUAGGUAAGCUUGCCGAAGUCUUAAUUGAGCCAAGGAGUUGGGAUCGACUUAUCGAGUAAGCUCGUGGCAUCUUUCUUUUCUUUAUUUUUAUUUCUCUAAUUAUUUUUUUACAUUCCUAAUUUUUAGGGUUGUGAAUUCAAUUAGAGGAAGGGGUUUUAAUUAGGUUGUUUGAGAUUUGGUAUUGCAUGCGAUUGGGUUAAGGUUCUAGGAGUCAAAAUGAUACUCCCCAUACCCUCCUGCAUCACCUGUUAUCUAGGAAUAGUUAUUUAUUUGUAUGUAUGUAUGCUUUUGAACCUAUAAAUGGGUUUUCUGUGUCCCCUCGUGGAUGAAUGUUUAGUUUAGCUGAACAUUUUGGUUCAGUGUCUUAUGCACGGGGAUUGGACAAGGCUACCGGGGUGGUUGAGUGUUUUGUUGGAAUGUCUGUUUUAUUUUCUAUGUCCCCAUUUAUAGUGUUAUUUGGUGUAUCUAUCCUCCUAGGUAUAGGUUUAGAUAGCUGCGUAUGUAGAUAUGUAAAUAAUGUAACUUAAUAAAAAAUUAAUAAUGCAGUAUUAAGACUGUGUUAGAGGAUGAGUCAGAGUCUAAGUCCAAGUGUGUGAGUUAGUGAUCUAAUUUGAUUCUGUUGUGAGAUUUGAUCCGAUCUGAUCUGUUCUAUUCUGAUGCCUCUAGGCUAUGAUGCGUUUUGCAUGAUGGUUUUUGUUUGGGUUCUUUAAUAAUAUGAAAUGNNNNNNNNNNNNNNNNNNNNNNNNNNNNNUACUGAGUUUAUAGAACUCACCACAACUAUGAUGCUUAUUUAGACCCAUUCCAUGAUGCUUAGUGGAAGUGUUUGAAGACUACUCUUUUGUAUUUUGUUUUUUGAUAGGCUAGUGUAACACCCCAAAAUAUUUUGUGCUUAAUUUAUAACGUGAACCUCAAUUUUGUCUAAGGCCGUUUAAACUUUUUAACUUUCAUAUUUUAAAUUUCUGAAUGAAUUUCAUAUUUUAGUUUUAUAAUUAUUUAGUUAAAAUAAUUAUUAAAAUUAUUUUUUGAUAAUUUAUUUUUAAAUUUAAUUAAAAAAAUUUAGGGAAAAACGGAUGAAAAACAACAAAAAAUCUCGUGGGAAUGCCCAUGGGAAAGACCUCGCCUGUGUGGGCUCUGUCCAUCAUGCGAGCAAGCACGUGCGACCAUCACAAGACGUGCGCUUGUGUGUAAGUCCCAUCUAUACGGGGCACGAGGUGCGGUCUGCAUGUGAUUCCCAUCACAUGGAGACGGGUGUGCUGCUCCGCGAGCCUUGUGCAUGACGGUCCGCUUGUUAUGCCUGCACGCAAAAGGCCUACACGCAAUAAGUCUAUGUACGGAAGGCUUGCGCACAGUAGACCUAUGCAUGCGGCUUGUUAGGGCUGUGCAGCAAGCUGGGGCAGUGAACGCUUCCUCAUGCAAAGCGUGCUGCCCCCUUAGGUGUCGUGCACUGCCUUCGGGCGUCAUGUGCUGCCUUCGGGCGGUAUGCCGCUAUCAACUUGGGCAGUGUGCUGCUGCUAGUUUGGGCGACAUGCUACUAGUUAUUUUGGUGGCGUGCCUUUGGUUUUUUUUCCAUCGUCACGUCACGUCGUCUAUUUGUCAGUCACAUCCGUUGAUCGUAACAUCUCAUCAUUUCACCUUGACUUCUCUCUCUUCACCAGAUUUUACCACUUGGCACAAAUCUAACGGUCUCCAUUUUCUAUAAAUAGGGACCCCCAUCCACUUCAUUCUUCCAUCCACCAUAGGGUUUGAGAGAGAGAGAGGGUGAUCUAUAAAAAGAAUGAGAGGAAAAGAAGAAGAAAAAGGCGUAGGAAAUACCAAGGUUUUGGUAAGAAAUUUAGUAUUUACUUUUAACACACUAUGGAGUAUUUUUAGAUUAAAUUAACGAAAUUUUAAAUAAUGUGAUUGCAUGCUUAAUUUUAUGUGCUCAAACAAAAUUAUUACAGGUAAAUUCAUAUUAUAUGAGUAUAUAUAUAAAUUAAUUAUUUGCAUGUUUAACUUGCAUAUGGUAAAUGUUGAGGCAUGAUGAAUUAUACGACGAUGAAAUAAUGAGGCAUGAAGUUUAUUUUAAGCAUGAGAAAUAUGUAUCGAUAUCAACAUACAUGAGUCAUAAAAUAUUUUUGUUAGCCUUUUUAGCUCUGAAGGGUUUCCAUUUUUCCCCAUUUGGUCUAAAAAGACAUGAUAGGAUCGUUCCCUGUGGAUGACGGCAUACCCUCUGACGAGAGUGGUGAUGCGAUAUGAUUGUAGGGGUCACCUUUGGCAAAGUACGGUUGUGGCCAUAGUUUACAUAUAAGACCACUGUGGUUGGUAAGUCUGUGGUCAUAUAUCGUGUCAUGGUUUGGUAAGCUGUAAAUAUGUUGUUGGUUUGGCAAGCUGCAAAUUGAUGUUAUAAUAUAAAUUGAAUUGGUCCUUCCACAUGGGUAGUCAGAAUGAUUUCGCACAAAGAAUAAAAUGAAAUAAAGAGUAUGUCAUGAUUCUUUUUAUUUUUUCAACUUUCAGUAUGAUUGAUUUAAUUGAAAUGAUAUGACUAUGAUAUGAUAUGUAACAUCCCGCUCAUCAUCGUGUUAAAUUUGUACCUAAAAAUCUCUAUUUAUUUGGGUCUUAAGGCCACUUAAACUCAUUUAAAUUUAUCUCGUAGUUUUAUAUCGUGUUUCGUGAUUUAAAUUCGUAAUUUUAAUUUAUUAUGAUGUCAUUAUUUUAUUUAAUUUUAUUUACUAUUAUUUUUAUUUUUAUUUAUUAUAAAUGAUUUUCAGGAUGAAAUACGGUAAAUGGGUGAAAUCCCGUGGGAAAACACCUGCAAAAAAGACCUGCUCGUGCGGGCAUCCCAUCAUGCACAUAUAGGCUAGUCCGACGCGUCACAUAGAGCAUGAAUAAGGCCAGGCGUCGUUCGCCCUGUGUGCAUGUCGUCCACGCAGUAAGCCUACAUGGAUAGGCUUGCAUGCAUGGGCUUACGCGUAGUGGGCCUGCAUGCUGUAGGCCUUAUGCGUGGUAUGAUAGGCCGACACCUACAGGCUAGGCCUACAGCCUGCGGUUAGCCUGGGGAGGCGCACUGCCACCUAGGGCACUGUGUCGCUGCCCCUUGAGAACCGUGCGUCGCCCUUGGCAAUGUGUUGCCACUGUCUCUGGUGGAGAGCUGUUGCCGGUUGAGCAUUCUUCUUGCGUUAUGUCAAAUCACUCAUCUUCUACUCAACUUUCUCUCCCCUCACCAAAUUUUGCCACUUGGCAUAAAUCCAACGGUCCCUAUUUUCUAUAAAUAGAGACCCUUUUCUUUUAUUUUCCUCAUCCUUCCAAUUCAUUCUUCCAUCCUCCAAGAGCUUAGAGAGAAAGGGAGUGAUCUAGAGAGAGAAAGAAAGGUAUAGGAAAACUUCAAAGUUUCAGUAAGAAAUUUAGUAUUUCCUUAAACAUCUUAAGGAAUAUUUCUAGAAAAUAAAAAAUUAUGAAGUUUGUGUUUUAUAUUUUUCAUGAUUUAUGUUUAAUAGUUCCAAUAAAGUGAUUAGUUCUUGAUUUCAAGCAUGCUAUGUGAUCUUAUAAGCACUUAAUGAUUUGCAUGUAAAUUAAAUAACAUGAAUAUGGUGAUAAUUGUCUAAAAAGUAUAAAAAAAAAGGGAAUGAGCCUAAAAUGGUCCGAAAAAUAAAUGUAUAUGUAUUGACAUGCAUAAAGCAUCAAGUGUUUCGUUAGGCUUUUUAUCUCUGAGUGGUUUUUGUUUUUUCCUCCCUCAUCUGAUCUAGAAAGAUGUGAGAUGACCGCUCCUUAUGGAUGACGGUGUAUUCUCUUACGAGAGUGGUGACGUGAAUAUCUGUUAAGGGUCACCUUUGGCUAAGUACUGUCGUGACUAUAAAAUAUCUGAUAGGACCGCUGUUGUAGUAGCCUAGAACUAGAAAUGAAAUAAGUUAUAAAUUGAAUGCGGAAGCGAAAUAAUAGUGUUAGGAUUUACAUUCCUUACACAAUAAUUCAGAAUACUCAAUAGGGAUACGGGAAUGACCCUUCUAAAAGAACAACGAAAAAUCAAAGAAAUAAAUGGGAAGUAAAUAACUGGACAUCCUAUUCACAACCCUCUUGUGGAUCGAGAUAUGGAUCUUGGUCCUCUUGAUCUGAAAUUGUUAAUGAAAGAGUGAGCUACACUAGUCUACUAAGAAUGUCACACUACUCACUGAUAUAGAAAUGAAGAUUGGUAAAAAUCAUGAAAACAACUAAUGGAGCUCUUAAUUUAAGUAAAUUCAUUUAUCAUGAAUAAAAUCAUUUAUUGUCUACUUACCGUAGCAAGAUUUUCAAAACUGAGUUAUAGAGGCAAUAACACAAACAAUAUCAUAAUCUAUAUUCAACUAAUCAGAACAACCACUUUUCCUUUUUAUCUGCCUACUGAUAUCUAUGGGGGUCCGUAGGGAUGUUCCCACUACGCGAAAAUCCUUAUUCAACAUUGUCAACUAACCGACCGUCCCCAUACCCCGUCUGGCAGGAGUGCUAAAAAUAUCAUCCCUCAAUACCACGUGUGGUAUGAGGGUGAAACGGGUCAUCUCCAUGCCCCGUCCAGUAUGAGCACCAAAAUACCAAUCCUCAAUACCCCAUCCAGUUCGUCCACCAUCUCUCAAGAUAUCCAGUAAAGCUACCAUUCACUCAUUCACCUAAUCAAACAAUUCUUCGUUUAUAUUUAAUUUCUGGUUUGACAAUUUAACUGUAAAUCACGCAAAACAAGCAAUACAUGCAUAAAGAAAAUACAUAUGAAUUAUCUUACCAACUCUAGCGUAUUAUCAUGCAUUUAAAACUGUAAAAUUAAUCAAUCGGUUAAAACAGGAUAAACAGUGAUAAAUGACCGGUUCUGUCUCCUUUAGUAGCAUGUGAUAAAUUAUCGAUAUUUUUUAAAUUACGCAAAAUGUCGUAUUAUUUAUAAUUAAACUUUAAUUCCAUAACAAAGAAUAGGGUGAGGGAUUCUUACCCGAAUUGGUGUCUGAACACUAAACUUUUAGCUGCGCCUACUAACGGUCCCUGGAUUCCUUAAAUUUUCUUUUGGAGAUUAAAACACGCUUUAAGUACCUAUAAAUACCCCAAAAAAUCCAAAAUCGGUGUUAAAAUCCUUUUCUGGCCAAUUUUGGAAUUCUGGUAUGGCAACAGUUUGCCUCGAAAUUGCCAUUUUCGGCAAGUUUUGGCCGAUUUCAACCGAUUUUAUACUAAUCCCUAUGAGAAAACACGUUAAGGGGCCUCGGUUGGCUGGAAAAAGUCGAAAAAUAAAAGCUUAUCGGCGGCAGGGUUUUCUAGUGCGGCGGCUCUGCCAGGUCACCUUUGCGGUUGGACUUUUUCUUUAAUGAAUCUAUGAGAAACAGAAUGGUGAAUACAAUGGUGGAAAAAUCUCAUGAAACGGGAAUGAGGAAGGACCUCAUCAAAGGUAGUUUUUUUAUUUUUCCCGCAGCGGUGCCGUCGGACUUUACCCGCAGUUUUUGGCUCAUCUGUCGGUCCUUUUGUUCUGAUUUCGCCAUAGGGGUAUUCAAAAUCAAAUUUCGAGUGAAUUAAAUUUUUUUUACCUUUUUUAACAGUCAGAGGUGACUCCGGCACGGCGAUGGGCUGCAGUCAGCUUCAUUCUCCAGCGACUGGCUCUUCUUCUCCGGCGGGGGGCUGGCGGCUAGGUUUAGGGUUCGGUGUGAAGUGAUAUAUUGAUAUUCAUCUCCCUUUAAUCUAGAUCGUCUAUCAUGUUUGAUCUCGACCGUCCGAUCGCNNNNNNNNNNNNNNNNNNNNNNNNNNNNNNNNNNNNNNNNNNNNNNNNNNNNNNNNNNNNNNNNNNNNNNNNNNNNNNNNNNNNNNNNNNNNNNNNNNNNNNNNNNNNNNNNNNNNNNNNNNNNNNNNNNNNNNNNNNNNNNNNNNNNNNNNNNNNNNNNNNNNNNNNNNNNNNNNNNNNNNNNNNNNNNNNNNNNNNNNNCGUCUAUCAUGUUUGAUCUCGACCGUCCGAUCGCAUUUAAAAAGAAAAUAAAUCUUUACAGUUCAUCGCGAUUUGAUCUAGUCCAUCCGAUCGGAUUUAAAGAGGGAACAGAUUCGAACCAUCCACGCGCGCGGGAACAAAUCUGGACCGUCCAAUCAUGGGCACGCGAAUUACCAACGUGGCCCCUCCGCAUGGCAUCGAAUCAGCGUGCCUUGCCACGCAGCGCACUCCGGUUUGUCGAGACUGCUGAGUGGGGAUCCUACGUGGCACAUAUUUUUUAAAUUAUGUUUUGACCUCCAUAUUCUAAUUUUUCUUUCAAAAACACCCCCAUACCUUGUAUGGGUAUUUUGUAUCUUGUUGCCACUUCUGGUCUCAGUUAUAUAUAUAUGUAUAAUUAGAAACUCAUAUAUUUUAGUAAAGGAUUUGUAAUACUUUGCCCCGUUGCAUACAAUUUUUAUCAUGCACUCGUAAUAUAUUUUUAUAUCUAGCACCCUUAUACCUUAAUUUGCAUUGAGGAUGUCACAUGAUAGAAUUGAUACUUUUUUUAGUAAAAUAAAUAGUUUUCAUAAUUAAUAAAGAAUCCCUUAAGUGACUCCUGAUGGUAAGUAAUGAUGGUAUUUCUUAGUUUUAAUUUACCUUUGAAUUCUUAGUGAUGUUAUUUAAAUAUUAUUUUUCUUACUGAGUAUAUGGAACCCAACCUUUUUCAUGCCCCCUUUCAGAUGAGGAAAAUAGUGAGGAACAAAUCGCUAAUCUACUCCUUGAAGCUUUUGAGAAUCCUGCGGAUCCA
This 11395-nucleotide long non-coding RNA is filed under the name Carica papaya (papaya). Its description in RNAcentral is "long non-coding RNA (CPAP_LNC010151)". The record is from RNAcentral. Lineage: Eukaryota; Viridiplantae; Streptophyta; Magnoliopsida; Brassicales; Caricaceae.